Long non-coding RNA from Liolophura sinensis, 348 nucleotides. RefSeq lists it as uncharacterized. The record is from RefSeq and is a predicted model, not a curated record. NCBI's taxonomy places the organism in Eukaryota, Metazoa, Mollusca, Polyplacophora, Chitonida, Chitonidae. The transcript has 4 exons.
AACGUAGUCGGCCUACAUGAGGAAAAGAAAGUGACGACAUAUGUAUGCUGCUAACUUUCUACUGUUUUUUAAACGACUUCCAAUUCUUUUUUGAGUGAUGGGUUAAGCAUUAUGAUCACGAAGAAGGAUGUCUGUCUGAAGGACCACCGGUGCCACAAGAAGACAAGGACGGAAGGAGUGAUUGUGUGACCAGUCUUUUUCUUCUAGGACUCUUGGAUGUUCAUUGUUUCCGCGCACAAGGAGCCAUGAGAAUGUCACACAGCUGUUUCUAGUUUAUGGAUUGAGGGAAGGAAAAUACAGGUGUAGUUACAGAUGAGCUGAUACAAGGACUGGGUGUUCAUAUACGAC